RNAcentral lists this ribosomal RNA (485 nucleotides) under uncultured bacterium. RNAcentral's name for it is "partial 16S ribosomal RNA". It matches the Rfam family "Bacterial small subunit ribosomal RNA", at positions 28 to 507 of the family's 1533-position model. The record is from RNAcentral.
GAUGAACGCUAGCUACAGGCUUAACACAUGCAAGUCGAGGGGCAGCAUGACCUAGCAAUAGGUUGAUGGCGACCGGCGCACGGGUGAGUAACACGUAUCCAACCUGCCGAUUAUUCCGGGAUAGCCUUUCGAAAGAAAGAUUAAUACUGGAUAGCAUAACGAGAAGGCAUCUUCUUGUUAUUAAAGAAUUUCGAUAAUCGAUGGGGAUGCGUUCCAUUAGUUUGUUGGCGGGGUAACGGCCCACCAAGACAUCGAUGGAUAGGGGUUCUGAGAGGAAGGUCCCCCACAUUGGAACUGAGACACGGUCCAAACGCCUACGGGAGGCAGCAGUGAGGAAUAUUGGUCAAUGGACGAGAGUCUGAACCAGCCAAGUAGCGUGAAGGAUGACUGCCCUAUGGGUUGUAAACUCCUUUUAUAUGGGAAUAAAGUGGGCCACGUGUGGCUUUUUGUAUGUACCAUACGAAUAAGGAUCGGCUAACUCCGUG